This 521-nucleotide ribosomal RNA is filed under the name Microchloropsis salina. RNAcentral describes it as "SSU rRNA". It matches the Rfam family "Eukaryotic small subunit ribosomal RNA", at positions 433 to 957 of the family's 1831-position model. The record is from RNAcentral. Lineage: Eukaryota; Eustigmatophyceae; Eustigmatales; Monodopsidaceae.
CGCGUAAAUUACCCAAUCCUGACACAGGGAGGUAGUGACAAUAAAUAACAAUGCCGGGGUUUAACUCUGGCAAUUGGAAUGAGAACAAUUUAAAUCCCUUAUCGAGGAUCAAUUGGAGGGCAAGUCUGGUGCCAGCAGCCGCGGUAAUUCCAGCUCCAAUAGCGUAUACUAAAGUUGUUGCAGUUAAAAAGCUCGUAGUUGGAUUUCUGGCAGGGACGGCUGGUCGGUUCCGAUAAGGGGCCGUACUAUUGUUGGUUCCUGUCAUCCUUGGGGAGAGCGAUUCUGGAAGUUGUUGGGGUCGGGAUCCCUAUCUUUUACUGUGAAAAAAUUAGAGUGUUCAAAGCAGGCUUAGGCCCUGAAUACAUUAGCAUGGAAUAAUAAGAUACGACCUUGGUGGUCUAUUUUGUUGGUUUGCACGCCAAGGUAAUGAUUAAUAGGGAUAGUUGGGGGGUAUUCGUAUUCAAUUGUCAGAGGUGAAAUUCUUGGAUUUAUGGGAAGACGAACUACUGCGAAAGCAUUUA